UAGUUACAUAUGCUGAGAACAAGACUGC
Molecule: small RNA, 28 nt
Filed under: Bombyx mori (domestic silkworm)
Lineage: Eukaryota; Metazoa; Arthropoda; Insecta; Lepidoptera; Bombycidae
Description: ovarian small RNA-23111
Source: RNAcentral